UGGGGAAUCUUGCACAAUGGGCGAAAGCCUGAUGCAGCAACGCCGCGUGCGGGGAGAAGGCCCUCGGGUUGUAAACCGCUUUCAGAAGGAACGAAACUGACGGUACUUUCAGAAGAAGGUGCGGCCAACUACGUGCCAGCAGCCGCGGUGACACGUAGGCACCAAGCGUUGUCCGGAUUUAUUGGGCGUAAAGAGCUCGUAGGCGGUUCAGUAAGUCGGGUGUGAAAACUUUGGGCUUAACCCAAAGCGUGCAUCCGAUACUGCUGUGACUCGAGUACGGUAGGGGAGCGGGGAAUUCCUAGUGUAGCGGUGAAAUGCGCAGAUAUUAGGAGGAACACCGGUGGCGAAGGCGCCGCUCUGGGCCGAAACUGACGCUGAGGAGCGAAAGCAUGGGUAGCAAACAGGAUUAGAUACCCGUGUAGUCCCUGAGCGGGCUGGCAAGGCGCAU
RNAcentral lists this ribosomal RNA (448 nucleotides) under uncultured bacterium. RNAcentral describes it as "bacterial SSU rRNA". It matches the Rfam family "Bacterial small subunit ribosomal RNA", at positions 355 to 825 of the family's 1533-position model. The record is from RNAcentral.